AAAAUGUCUACCGCUUUUAAAUAAGGGAAAAAAUAAGACAGUUUUGAACAAAUUAGCGAUGUGUAGAAUAAAACCUGUGCAUGUUACACAAGAACAGUUGAGAGAAUUGCUGCUGUAGCCCAAAAUGUUAAAGAAAAACCCAGACUCGUGUCUGUAGACUUAUUAAAUUCAGUUAACACAUGAAUUCCAGCCUGCCGAUCCCCAACAACAUCGUUACCCUUGCUGUUUGGGUCUUUCAAACGCAGAAAAUAAUUCGAAAUUCCACCUCGGUAUCUACCCAUCUGAUUCUAUCAGUCAAAAUGACCAUAGCAUGCAAAACAUUAAAAUCGAAAACAACAUUGAAUUAUACAAUCCAGACAAGUAGCAAUUAAUCCUGUAUGUCCUGUACGAAUAAUAAAAAAGUCUCAAAAAUACCAAAAAAUUA
This is a long non-coding RNA of Musca domestica (house fly), 424 nucleotides long. RefSeq lists it as uncharacterized. The transcript has 2 exons. Lineage: Eukaryota; Metazoa; Arthropoda; Insecta; Diptera; Muscidae. The record is from RefSeq and is a predicted model, not a curated record.